ACAUUUCUUGGAUGUUUUUUAUGUUAUUGUCUGUGUGUGUGUGUGUGCAUGUGUUUGUAUUGCAUACAUACGAGUGUGUGAGUACAUGUCACUGUACAUGU
This 101-nucleotide microRNA precursor is filed under the name Microtus ochrogaster (prairie vole). RNAcentral describes it as "miRNA (ENSMOCG00000010359.1)". The record is from RNAcentral. Lineage: Eukaryota; Metazoa; Chordata; Mammalia; Rodentia; Cricetidae.